Macadamia integrifolia is the source of this 755-nucleotide long non-coding RNA. RefSeq lists it as uncharacterized. NCBI's taxonomy places the organism in Eukaryota, Viridiplantae, Streptophyta, Magnoliopsida, Proteales, Proteaceae. The transcript is spliced from 2 exons. The record is from RefSeq and is a predicted model, not a curated record.
GACAGUUUCGGUUGCGUGUGUGACCUUUGUGUUGAAAAUCAGAGGAGACUCAGGAGAGAAAGAGAGAGCAUAGGCUGCAUAGAAGAUAUUUGUUGUGGUUGUUUCAGAUUGCCAAGCGGUCAAAGGAAGGUACGCUCUACCCACUUCCAAAACAAGAAAAGAAAGAAAGAUACGCUAGCUUUCUCUCGAUACUUCCUCUUCACAUGAAACAAUGAAGCCUUCGGUGACCAUCGAUGUCCCCAUGUUAACAGGGAUCGCAAGUUCGCAACUCAACCUCCGAUGUCCUCUUUUGCUCUGAAAGGCUCUCCUUUGGUCAUCCCUUCGAACCCACCUGAAUUAAUCUCGUUGGCCCCAUGUAGUGCAGUGGACAUGAGAGCGGCCACAUCGUCGGAAAGAAGGAAAGUGCAGGGGCUUUGCUGUGUGGUGAAGCCUAAUGUUCUAGCAGCUACUUUAGAGGAGGCUAAGGAUUAUUCUUGUAAGGCGGUGCGGAUUGUGAGGAGAUAAAACCUCAUGGAAGUUGUUAUAACCUUGACACGGUAUUUGCCCAUGCUUCUUAUGCUUUCAAUAGCUACCUACAAAAGAACAAGAGAAACAGAAGGACUAAUUGGGAUAUUCUUAAACUAAAAAUAAAUAAAUAAAUAAUUGGUUUCUUCAUGUCUGUUUGCUUAUUUCAGGUUUUAUGCAUUGUUGGUUCAUCCUUGGUUGAGGUUGGAGACAUGUUCAAAUAAAUUUUUGCUGAUUUUCCGUUUCUUCUU